CUAAAAGGAACGAUCGUUGUGAUAUGCGUUCAUUAAAUCGUUACAUAUCACAGUGAUUUUCCUUUAUAGCG
This is a microRNA precursor of Drosophila grimshawi, 71 nucleotides long. It matches the Rfam family "mir-5 microRNA precursor family". The record is from Rfam. NCBI's taxonomy places the organism in Eukaryota, Metazoa, Arthropoda, Insecta, Diptera, Drosophilidae.